UAACGUUACUGGGGGAGUCCGAAUUGUCCGGACUGAGACGGAAUCGCAUGAGAUUCCGGACCCUUUGCACCUGAUCUGGAUCAUACCAGCGUAGGGAAGUAAUCGGCGAUACGA
This is a non-coding RNA of Paenibacillus sp. MAEPY2, 114 nucleotides long. The record is from Rfam. Lineage: Bacteria; Bacillati; Bacillota; Bacilli; Caryophanales; Paenibacillaceae.